This 1351-nucleotide long non-coding RNA is filed under the name Vulpes vulpes (red fox). RNAcentral describes it as "lncRNA (ENSVVUG00000007893.1)". Lineage: Eukaryota; Metazoa; Chordata; Mammalia; Carnivora; Canidae. The record is from RNAcentral.
GCUCAUUGUAUAAAAGUGGCUCAAAAUUAUUUGGAGAUUUUGCAAUCUGCCAAGGCAGAUUUGUCUAAACUAUAUUAUGUCUUUGUAUUAAAACCCCCAAUUUCUGCUAUACCCACCUUACUUAUUUUUCUUAUAAAGCAUCUCAUAUGUUUUUCAGGUGUUUUAAUAUUUUAUCCACAGCUAGUAAAAGCUCAAUAACAAAAUAAAACUGACCUCUUCCAACAAAAUAUAACACCACAAAAUAUUUUGUAAAAUAUUUAAUUUUUAAGAAAUUUAGUUGUACAUUAGAUAGAUAUACCAAUGUAGUUGCACCAAAUUGAAAACAUUUUUUUGUGGUUGUUAAAUCAGAGUCAUUACUAAGUAAACAGGGACUUGGGGACUUACAAUUCUAUUUUACUGAGCCCAACAUUAGGAUAUUUAUUACAAUGUAAUUCUAUCUGUACUUUUAUAUUUAAGUAAUAGUAUAAAAAGGCAUGUUUUCUGAAAAUAUUAACAUAUGCUGGUAAAGUUUCAUGCACUUUGUUAUGUUCUUCAGUUUCACCUAGUUAUAUAAUGAUUAUUCUUAAAGUUAAUGAUUAAAAAAUGUGCUCUGCCCUUAAACGACCCUAUUUCUCUCCUAAUCUAAUCAAGGAAUGAGCAGAUCUGAAAACCUAAUUCAAGUUAAUUUACAAUAAGUGUUUUUAAAAACAAUUUCUAUUUGAAUCCAAAAAAAUAUGGUUACAAUGUGUUAAAGACCAUCCAUAAAAUGACCAUUACCUUAGGAAAUACAUAAACUGUUAUCUUUAUAUGCCCAAUCUGUUUUAGGAGGUGGCAGCUGGUUAAAUCUCUUUUAAAAAACAAAAAACAAACAAACAAACAAAAAACUAUUUCAAUCCAGGCAUAAAAAUUCCAGCAUAACUACAGACUUAGGAAAUGUAAAUUUAAAAUUUUAAUACUGUUGACCUAAGUCCCGGGCUAAUUCCCAGGGGCUAACAAGACUCUAAAUAUUUGUUUUAUAAAGAUUAUAUAUCUUCACCAAAUCUACUUCUGCUUGUAUUUUUGAAACAGAUCCAUGAUCACAAUGGAGGGAAAUGUGAUAGGGGAGCUCCAGGUCACCAUCACACAAUGAAGACUUCCAGGUGCUUAGACUCAAAACAUCUAGACAGUUCAGAAGUUGAGAGGCAAAGUCGGCAAAAAGUAACGCAGAAGGUGUACACAUGGGCAGCCUGAACACAACCAGACAAACAUAGGACCUCAGAAAAUGGGUCCUAGAAGACACAGCAAGGGCAGGUGAGUGAGUGUUCUCUUACAAAAAUGGCCCAUUGGGCAACUGAGGGUGGUUCUGCACCAUUAGAAGUGGGUGGCAGGAUAU